Molecule: ribosomal RNA, 478 nt
Filed under: uncultured bacterium
Lineage: Bacteria
Description: bacterial SSU rRNA
Rfam family: Bacterial small subunit ribosomal RNA
Source: RNAcentral
UAGAGUUUGAUCCUGGCUCAGAACGAACGCUGGCGGCAGGCUUAACACAUGCAAGUCGAACGCCCCGCAAGGGGAGUGGCAGACGGGUGAGUAACGCGUGGGAACGUGCCCUUUGGUUCGGGAUAACCCGGGGAAACUCGGGCUAAUACCGGAUAAGCCCCGGACUUGAUCCGGGGGAAAGGUUUACUGCCGAAGGAUCGGCCCGCGUCGGAUUAGCUAGUUGGUGGGGUAACGGCCUACCAAGGCGACGAUCCGUAGCUGGUCUGAGAGGAUGAUCAGCCACACUGGGACUGAGACACGGCCCAGACUCCUACGGGAGGCAGCAGUGGGGAAUAUUGGACAAUGGGCGCAAGCCUGAUCCAGCCAUGCCGCGUGGGUGAAGAAGGCCCUAGGGUUGUAAAGCCCUUUCAGCGGGGACGAUAAUGACGGUACCCGCAGAAGAAGCUCCGGCUAACUUCGUGCCAGCAGCCCCGGUCAA